AGCGAACGCUGGCGGCAGGCCUAACACAUGCAAGUCGAACGAACUCUUCGGAGUUAGUGGCGGACGGGUGAGUAACACGUGGGAACGUGCCUUUUGGUUCGGAAUAACUCAGGGAAACUUGUGCUAAUACCGAAUGUGCCCUUCGGGGGAAAGAUUUAUCGCCAUUAGAGCGGCCCGCGUCUGAUUAGCUAGUUGGUGAGGUAACGGCUCACCAAGGCGACGAUCAGUAGUUGGUCUGAGAGGAUGACCAGCCACACUGGGACUGAGACACGGCCCAGGCUCCUACGGGAGGCAGCAGUGGGGAAUCUUGCGCAAUGGGCGAAAGCCUGACGCAGCCAUGCCGCGUGAAUGAUGAAGGUCUUAGGAUUGUAAAAUUCUUUCACCGGGGACGAUAAUGACGGUACCCGGAGAAGAAGCCCCGGCUAACUUCGUG
This 433-nucleotide ribosomal RNA is filed under the name uncultured bacterium. RNAcentral's name for it is "partial 16S ribosomal RNA". It matches the Rfam family "Bacterial small subunit ribosomal RNA", at positions 29 to 507 of the family's 1533-position model. The record is from RNAcentral.